This 379-nucleotide ribosomal RNA is filed under the name uncultured cyanobacterium. RNAcentral's name for it is "bacterial SSU rRNA". It matches the Rfam family "Bacterial small subunit ribosomal RNA", at positions 376 to 770 of the family's 1533-position model. Lineage: Bacteria; Bacillati; Cyanobacteriota. The record is from RNAcentral.
CGAAAGCCUGACGGAGCAAGACCGCGUGAGGGAGGAAGGUCUGUGGAUUGUAAACCUCUUUUCUCAGGGAAGAAGAACUGACGGUACCUGAGGAAUCAGCAUCGGCUAACUCCGUGCCAGCAGCCGCGGUAAGACGGAGGAUGCAAGCGUUAUCCGGAAUCAUUGGGCGUAAAGCGUUCGUAGGUGGUCUUGCAAGUCUGCUGUUAAAUCCGAGGGCUUAACCCUUGUUCGGCGGUGGAAACUACAAGACUAGAGGGCGGUAGGGGCAGAGGGAAUUCCCGGUGUAGCGGUGAAAUGCGUAGAGCUCGGGAAGAACUCCGAUGGCGAAAGCACUCUGCUGGGCCGUGCCUGACACUCAUGGACGAAAGCUAGGGGAGCA